GAUGAACGCUAGCGGCAGGCUUAACACAUGCAAGUCGAGGGACGGUAGCAAUACUGGACCGGCAAACGGGUGCGGAACACGUACGCAACAUACCCUGAACUGGGGCAUAGCCUUCUGAAAAGGAGAUUAAUACCCCAUAAGAUAAUAGAGUGGCAUCACUUAGUUAUUAAAGAUUUAUUGGUUCAGGAUUGGCGUGCGUCCUAUUAGCUAGUUGUAAGGGUAACGGCCUACCAAGGCGACGAUAGGUAGCUGGUGUGAGAGCACGACCAGCCACACGGGCACUGAGACACGGGCCCGACUCCUACGGGAGGCAGCAGUGAGGAAUAUUGGUCAAUGGAGGCAACUCUG
Molecule: ribosomal RNA, 348 nt
Filed under: uncultured bacterium
Lineage: Bacteria
Description: bacterial SSU rRNA
Rfam family: Bacterial small subunit ribosomal RNA
Source: RNAcentral